CCUCUUUAUUUGGCUUGCCUAAAAAUACCUCCAGGGGCCAAGCAGAAAGCCUGGAGGGGUUGGUGAAAAUAAUAAAAGGUAAGGACGUGUUCGAUUGACAAAAGGAAAUACGUAAUUCCCAUUUGGCCAUUAGCUCCUCCCCCAGUGCAGGCCCCACCCCCACUGACCCUGCCCCUUCAGAUCAGCGCAAGCCAGCAGCACUUGAGGGUCUAUUUUUGCCCUGCUUCACUAAAUAAGGCCAGGCAGAAUAGGGGAGUGGGUGCAGGUCCAGGGGGGCUCCUCUUUGCCUUGAUCCAGGGGUAUAAAAGCUUUGGAGCAGUGGGGGGCUCCUCUGACCAGCCCCUCUGCACACUUCCCAUCUGUCCUGUCCAAACGUUUGGCAUAAAACAUGUUUGAAGUCAACAUUAUGACAUUUAAGUAUUUUUUAAGCUAACAUUUGUUGUUUUCGGUGACGUGGACGCGUAUCGGUGACGUCAUUUUUAGCCUUAAUAGCUGCUGUCUCUCAUGUGAUAGGACAAGGACAUUUAUUGGAUAAAGUAUGGACAGAAUUGUCAGGCAGGAUGGAAUAUACAGUAAGGACAAACAAGAAGAACAAGAAAAAGACUGAGACAGCCUCAUCUCAUGUGCUUUUUAUCUGAUUUCUGUUUUACAAACGCUCUGAUCUUUCGAUCUUUACCUCAUAUUGACUUGCUCCUGCUCUGUCGUUCUUAUUCUUUUUUUGUCUCUCUCUCUCUAACCGCCUGUCUUUCAUUUAGUGCUGUCAGCAUACUGUCCAUACUUUUUCCUACUCCUGUUUUAGCCGGUAUUGGGUGUAGCUCUAUACGUAGCUCGCUUUCUCUUUCAGGACAGGUGGGGAGGUGUUACCAAGAUAAACGUACAUCUUUAGGGCCAUUUUAUCUGACCUGGUCACUUUUGUCCAAUAUUUUUGUUAAUUUGCUCUUCUGUUUGCGCCGAGAACACUCUGGUAUUGAUGGCAACGCUCUGCAUUUCUUUUCAUCCACAUCUCUUUAUCAUCUGUCCAUCCCCCUACCCCUCUCUCUCUCUCUCUUUUUCCUCUCAUCCUCAAAUUCUCAAACGCUGAAUCAGCUGCUUGGGAACGGACGCUCCCCCUGCCUCUUGGAUCCACACACAAGCUGCCUCUCCCCGGUUCGACGGUGUCCUUUUCCUGUCCUGAGCUUGGGAUUCUGGCACACACAGAAGUCUUGCCCAAAAAUGCUUUGCUAAAGCUGGUAAAAUGGAACCAAAUCAACUGUUUUAUGGAUUUGGUCCCCUUCAACCAGCUGUAGCUGUGCAUUGAUCACCCCGUAGAGCUGUGAUGAAGAAAGAGAGGUGUUCAAAAGCAUAACACACAAUAUUUGCUCUGUGUGAAGUUCACAGUGCAGGACCGGCUGUUAAAUGCAUGUUCCUUUAAGCACUAAUAUCAUGAUUAAACAUUUUUUUGUCCUCUUAAAGCCUAGGUGAGUAUUACAGUAUAUAUGCCAUGUAAUUUAUUAUUUAUGAGAUAUAAUUGUUGAUUAUGUAUUCAAGCCAGAUCACUAUCAUUGGAAAGAGGGCUCUGGGCUCUUUAUGGCCGCCCAUUGAUUUCUUGUCUCACCAUUGAAAGAGUGUGGGGUGGGGGGAUGAGCCAGGCUGGACGGAUGUAGGGAAUGAGGGAGUGGGUGCAUGUCAAGCUGUUGAAUAAGUAAAACAGUUGUUCCUUUUCUCUCUGUUUUCCUUCUACACUUGUCGUGAUUCUUAAUGCACAUGGCUGAUCAAUAAAAGCUCAUCCUGAAGUUCAUAAA
Long non-coding RNA from Cyprinus carpio (common carp), 1781 nucleotides. RefSeq lists it as uncharacterized. The transcript has 2 exons. NCBI's taxonomy places the organism in Eukaryota, Metazoa, Chordata, Actinopteri, Cypriniformes, Cyprinidae. The record is from RefSeq and is a predicted model, not a curated record.